GCUGGCGGUAUGCCUAACACAUGCAAGUCGUACGAGAGUUUUUAACUCAAGUGGCGGACGGGUGAGUAACACGUAAGAAUUUGCCUUUAGGAGGGGGAUAACAUUUGGAAACGAAUGCUAAUACCCCAUAUGCUUUUAAGUGAAAUGGUAUUUUAUAUUAGCUUUUAUGUUAAUAUGUUAAUCUAUAAUUUUAAAUAUUAUUUAUAACCGCCUAAAGAGAAGCUUGCGGCUGAUUAGCUUGUUGGUAAGGUAAUGGCUUACCAAGGCGACGAUCAGUAUCUGGUUUGAGAGGAUGAUCAGACACACUGGAACUGAGACACGGUCCAGACUCCUACGGGAGGCAGCAGUGGGGAAUUUUCCGCAAUGGGCGAAAGCCUGACGGAGCAAUACCGCGUGAGGGAUGACUGCCUAUGGGUUGUAAACCUCUUUUUUCAGGGAGGAAUAAAUGACGUUACCUGAAGAAUAAGCAUCGGCUAACUCCGUGCCAGCAGCCGCGGUAAGACGGAGGAUGCAAGUGUUAUCCGGAAUCACUGGGCGUAAAGCGUCUGUAGGUGGUUUAAUAAGUCAACUGUUAAAUCUUGAGGCUCAACCUCAAAACUGCAGUCGAAACUAUUAGACUAGAGUAUAGUAGGGGUAAAGGGAAUUUCCAGUGGAGCGGUGAAAUGCGUA
This 669-nucleotide ribosomal RNA is filed under the name uncultured bacterium. RNAcentral's name for it is "bacterial SSU rRNA". It matches the Rfam family "Bacterial small subunit ribosomal RNA", at positions 35 to 692 of the family's 1533-position model. The record is from RNAcentral.